UGUCGGCUCGUCGCAUCCUGGGGGUGGAGUUGCUCCCAAGGGUUGGGCUGUUCGCCCAUUAAAGCGGUACGCGAGCUGGGUUCAGAACGUCGUGAGACAGUAUGUUCCGUUGCUGUCUAUAAAUUCGGCUAUAUGCUGGAAAACCCGUGGAUCCCGCAUUACUCGUAGCGUCUGUUCCGACCGAACGGAUCCCUACAGUGAAAACAUGUCGGGUGCGGACAAUCAGCAGGAAAGGCUGGAUGGCUACAUCGCGGGCUACGUAGAUGGCGAGGGCUGCUUUGCGGUCGCCGUCAAUCGCAAUCCCAGCUGCCGCAGUGGAUAUCAGCUCGUUCCUGAGUUUCAUGUCAGCCAAAACGGCGACAGAUCUCAGGUACUGAGUGUGAUUCGCGAGCGGUUUGGGGGUUGCGGCUACAUCAAGCCCAACGGAAGGAAGGAUCGUGCCCUGGUGUACGUCGUGAGGCGGCGUGAGCACCUGCUGGAGCAUGUGAUCCCCUUCUUCGAGCGUACGCCGCUUAUGUCUUCCAAGCAGGAAGACUUCGGGAAGUUUGCGGCGAUCGUUCGGUCCAUGGCUCUCGGUCACCAUCGCACCGCGAGCGGAUUUUCCCGGCUUCUAGACGAAGCUCUGUCGAUGAACGGGAAUGGCCGCUUUAGAAGCGUGCGCUGGAAGGAGCUCCUAGCAGCCGUCCAGAAUCCUCAGAGACUGUACGCCGAACGCGAAGAAUGAUGCCUUCGCGAAGAUACAGUCCGAGCUGCAUGGCGACAUGCAGAGCUAGGCAGAAAUGACCUAGCCCGGAGCCUGGUGCAGGCUCCGGUAACAAAACUGUCGGUCCCUAUCUGCCGUGGGCGCUGGAGAAUUGAGAGGAGUUGUCCCUAGUACGAGAGGACCGGGAUGAACACACCUCUGGUGUAUCUGUUGUCCUGCCAAGGGCACCGCAGGUUAGCUACGUGUGGAGCGGAUAACCGCUGAAAGCAUCUAAGCGGGAAGCCGACCUCGAGAUGAGUUCUCCCAUCCCCUAGAGGGAGUAAGACCCCUGGUAGACCACCAGGUUGAUAGGCCGGAUCUGGAAGAGCGGCAACGCUCGAAGGAGACCGGUACUAAUGGGUCGAGGGCUUGACGGAUUU
This 1122-nucleotide ribosomal RNA is filed under the name Actinomycetes bacterium. RNAcentral's name for it is "Actinobacteria bacterium partial 23S ribosomal RNA". It matches the Rfam family "Bacterial large subunit ribosomal RNA", at positions 2530 to 2925 of the family's 2925-position model. Lineage: Bacteria; Bacillati; Actinomycetota; Actinomycetes. The record is from RNAcentral.